This 1042-nucleotide long non-coding RNA is filed under the name Mastacembelus armatus (zig-zag eel). RNAcentral describes it as "lncRNA (ENSMAMG00000028369.1)". The record is from RNAcentral. Lineage: Eukaryota; Metazoa; Chordata; Actinopteri; Synbranchiformes; Mastacembelidae.
AAAACUACUGGAGGUUCAUUUCAUCAAGCCCGUCCCGACUUCCUGUUCCCUAAACGUUCCCUAAAGGUUCCCCCUGUUCUGUGGAGAUCUCAUUCACCUGCAGGUUUUCAUGGUUCCUGCUGUUGUGUGAGUGGAGGAUGGAGGGGGCGGAGCCUGAAACCAGGUCACUGGGUCAACACGGGACUUUCUGACAUUCCACAAAAACACACAUGUAGUGAUCCAGGCAAAGCAGACGGAUGGACGGACAGAGGGACGAGGACCAGGAGGAACAAAGAGGUGAGUAACGACUGACUCGGGUCUGUCAGUGAGCAGCUGUUCAUCCUUUUCACAGCGUCUGUGAUUUGUCAGGAGCUCAAAGUGUUUCUGCUGCUUCAGCUUCUUCAUUGCUUGUCUGUCUGAAAGUGCUGGAGCUUCUCUCUGACAGCAAACGUCCAGCAUGGGUGUCACAUUUUAAGGUGUCAGUCCUCAGUUCCUGCCAGUCCACCUUAAAUCUUAAGGUCUCAUUAGCUCAUUAACACUGAAGCAGAAUCAUGUUCAGCUGUUUGAAUGAACUUCGAGCAGAAAAUAAACUUCAGCAGCCUCAGUGUGUCUGUGUGUGUUUACUUAGCUGUUAAUAAAGUUAACCUGAUCAAACAGACAGAUGACCUCUGACCUCUCUGAGCAGCCAAUCACAGCAGGCUGCAGCUUCCAUGGGACAGGCCUCAGAUACACUGAGACCACUUUAUUGGUUCUGAUCUAGUUCUUCUCUCUGCUCUGACCUUCACUGAAGUUUGUGGCUCCUCCCACAUGACAGCUGAUGUUUGUCAGUCCAGAUGUUCCCACAGUGUGAACGGACCGAACCAGAUGUUCUCAGAUCAGAUCUGUGUGGUCCUGGACCAGAUUCUGAGUGUGUGAGCUCAGUCAGAACAACAGAAACAAUUUGCCUGCGGCACAAAUGAUGUUGUUCUUCACAUGUCAGUUCAGUCUGUGCAUGGAGGCAGUUUAGGAGCUCAGGGUGAUCACACUGGAGCCUGGUCCAUGUCCCUGACAGACAUGGAUCAAA